RNAcentral lists this ribosomal RNA (375 nucleotides) under uncultured bacterium. RNAcentral describes it as "bacterial SSU rRNA". It matches the Rfam family "Bacterial small subunit ribosomal RNA", at positions 30 to 416 of the family's 1533-position model. The record is from RNAcentral.
AUUGAACGCUGGCGGCAGGCCUAACACAUGCAAGUCGAGCGGGGUUUUCGGACCUAGCGGCGGACGGGUGAGUAAUGCGUAGGAAGCUACCCGACAGAGGGGGAUACCAGUUGGAAACGACUGUUAAUACCGCAUAAUGUCUACGGACCAAAGUGUGGGACCUUCGGGCCACAUGCUGUCGGAUGCGCCUACGUGGGAUUAGCUAGUUGGUGAGGUAAUGGCUCACCAAGGCGACGAUCCCUAGCUGGUUUGAGAGGAUGAUCAGCCACACUGGAACUGAGACACGGUCCAGACUCCUACGGGAGGCAGCAGUGGGGAAUAUUGGACAAUGGGCGCGAAGCCUGAUCCAGCCAUGCCGCGUGUGUGAAGAAGGCC